UGGGGAAUAUUGCACAAUGGGCGCAAGCCUGAUGCAGCCAUGCCGCGUGUGUGAAGAAGGCCUUCGGGUUGUAAAGCACUUUCAGCGGGGAGGAAGGCGUUAAGGUUAAUAACCUUGGCGAUUGACGUUACCCGCAGAAGAAGCACCGGCUAACUCCGUGCCAGCAGCCGCGGUAAUACGGAGGGUGCAAGCGUUAAUCGGAAUUACUGGGCGUAAAGCGCACGCAGGCGGUCUGUCAAGUCGGAUGUGAAAUCCCCGGGCUCAACCUGGGAACUGCAUUCGAAACUGGCAGGCUAGAGUAUCGUAGAGGGGGGUAGAAUUCCAGGUGUAGCGGUGAAAUGCGUAGAGAUCUGGAGGAAUACCGGUGGCGAAGGCGGCCCCCUGGACGAAGACUGACGCUCAGGUGCGAAAGCGUGGGGAGCAAACAGG
RNAcentral lists this ribosomal RNA (429 nucleotides) under Chloroflexota bacterium. RNAcentral describes it as "Chloroflexi bacterium partial 16S ribosomal RNA". It matches the Rfam family "Bacterial small subunit ribosomal RNA", at positions 355 to 776 of the family's 1533-position model. Lineage: Bacteria; Bacillati; Chloroflexota. The record is from RNAcentral.